CCCGCCUUGGGGUGUAAAGGUCUUGUCUGCCGCUCUUCUGCCCGCUGCCUGCGGGAGCCCAAGGAAAGGGAUCCCACGGGUGGUACCAUCGCAGACCUACGAUCAUCACAGUCCAGCCUGUGACCGAACACCACCGUGUCAUCUAGGCCAUGGCACUGGGUGCCACGUCCAGUGUUUCCUUUAAACACUUCCAGGGAUGGUGACUCCACCAAUACCUAACCGCCCUUUCUGUGAAGAAAUUCUUCCUAGUAUUCAACCUAAACCGCCCAUGGCACAGCUUAAGAGUUUUGUAGUCCUAGGCCUGUCACCGUCAGUCACGAUGCUCCACUACAGCAAUUCCACAAGGAUGGAUUUGCUUCCCAGUACGAGCAUUCCUUCCUCCGUCCCCACGGCCAGCCGCAGUACCCGGCGCUAAGGGCGCUCAGGACACAGCCUGCAAAAGGCACUUCUUUUCCCCCGCAAAACCCCCAAAGGACAGCAGCUCUCCAAACUACAGGAGUUAUGUUGGAAAUGCAGUCACUGUGCGCUGAGAUUCCCAGAAGCGCUCCCGUGGCUCUGGAUCCGGUGCACAUUAGAAGCAUCACAGCCCAGAGGAGGGAUCCGCACGCCGUGCAGCCCCAUCCCGAGCCGGCUGCUAUCCAGAGCGGGCUUGGAGAGGAUUCUGGCACUGACCGCCGCUCCCGAGGCUCGGGAAGGCCGGGACACAAGGUGCCAGCAUCCCCCGGGCUGGGUGGCCAGCAGAUGGCUUCACUGUGCCCAGAAGCUCCUGUCAGAAGGAAUGCGUACGGCAGGAACGCUUUGCGUGGAAAGUACAACGAAACACAGAACAGAAAUCAUCUUGGAAGCUCGGAUAGCUCUUAAGAAAAAUUGUGCUGCAAAGUUGCAAUCCCAAAGUUGCACGGGAUUGAAUGUACUGAAAGAUUUAUUCACAAAACAGCUUAUUUACUAUUUAUUAUUAUUUGCAAAAUUUUGAGUGUAUCUGGUCCUCAGAGGUAUCAUUAAUUAAGAACAACUAUCAGACUUAUCAGGAUGCAACUGUAAUAACAGAAAUAGCUGUAAGCAGUCCAGAUGCAGCCUCAAGACAGAGAAUUACAAAGGUAAGGCAAUGGGGUUAAGGAAAGAAAUAAUAUUGUUAACAGAAUUAACAGCAGCACUCUCCCCCAAGCAAAAGCAAAGCCGUUUUCAGGCCAAGCAAAUGUUGCUCCAAAUUUCUCAGGACUUCCUCAUGACUACCAGAAAUAGUUAUGUGAAAACUGGUUUUCACCAUGAUCUAGCAAGACUAGGAUAAGCACACACUUUCAGUUUAAGCACAUUUAUUUAGGAAGUAGCACUUCUGUUUACAUUAGUUUUAAGAACUUAUGUUCUUUAGAAACUGAUUUAUUUACAUUUUAUUGUUCCAUCAUCUGGUAUACAACACCUGAUGUUUUUAAAUGUUUUUUUAAAACCAGCAGCAAUUUAAUAGGCUUCAAGUUUAAUGAAAAGGCUUUUAGUUUUGGACAUUUUAUCUGAUAAACAGACAAGAAAACAGUACUAACAGGACAAAUGAAACAUUUUAUUGUAGCUAAAGCUAUGUGACUGCUUGUCAUGCUUUUUUACAUUGGUUAUUUUUAGUAAAACGGUGUUUAACAUUUCAGAAAACAUUCUUAAAAGAACAAUGAAACAAAAGUGCUUCUAAACAACAAAAUACAUAAACUAAUCCCAUCCCAGACUGGAGUUGUCCAAUAUAUUUUAUGGGGGUGUGGUAUGGUGUUUUGUCUCCACCUUUGGUCUUCAUCGCUUUAAUACAGAUUUCUGAAAAAUACCAACUAGCCCUUCACACGAGUAAAAAUGGGAAUCAUGUAGCAAAAGCAGUUUCUGUAUUUCCAGUCCCUUUGUCAGUUGUGCCACUAUUAGACAAAAUACUUUCUUCCCCAUUUCUAAUGGGAGAGAACCCUGCAUAACUGAGAGGCCACAGCCAGCAGCUUUGACCGCUACGCCUGUAUCAACCAACUACAAGGAGCACCGACCUUUAAUCCUCAAAGCCACUUCUCUGAAGAAAGCAUUUUUUAAGAAGAGUAUCUUAUGAAGGCAAGGAGAGUCUUACAGCAAAACAAGGUUCAUCACCAUAGUUUCCAGAAGUAAUGUCAAGCAUUUUCAAACCAAAACAUCAGGCUCUGAAGAAUCUGCAGUGUUGAGCCAGUAUGUUGAAUCCACCGGAGGAGUGUGUACCUUGCCAAUUAUUGCUGAACUCAGGAGGUAGUUAUUGACAAGGUAAGAAGUUUCCACUCUAAGACAGUUAAUGAUUUGCACAAGAAGCAGGAAAAACAGAAUACAGAUUUCUCCAUAUUUUACAAGAUGAUUUUGUAUUUGCAGGAAGUGACAGCUUAACUUCCUCAUCCUGUGGAAUUAAAAUUACCAUAAUUAAAAGAUACUGAAAAUUAUAAUUAAAA
This is a long non-coding RNA of Passer domesticus (house sparrow), 2429 nucleotides long. RefSeq lists it as uncharacterized. The transcript is spliced from 3 exons. The record is from RefSeq and is a predicted model, not a curated record. NCBI's taxonomy places the organism in Eukaryota, Metazoa, Chordata, Aves, Passeriformes, Passeridae.